ACUCCUGCGGGAGGCAGCAGUGGGGAAUAUUGGACAAUGGGCGCAAGCCUGAUCCAGCCAUGCCGCGUGAGUGAUGAAGGCCCUAGGGUUGUAAAGCUCUUUCACCGGUGAAGAUAAUGACGGUAACCGGAGAAGAAGCCCCGGCUAACUUCGUGCCAGCAGCCGCGGUAAUACGAAGGGGGCUAGCGUUGUUCGGUUUUACUGGGCGUAAAGCGCACGUAGGCGGACUAUUAAGUCAGGGGUGAAAUCCCGGGGCUCAACCCCGGAACUGCCUUUGAUACUGGUAGUCUUGAGUUCGAGAGAGGUGAGUGGAAUUCCGAGUGUAGAGGUGAAAUUCGUAGAUAUUCGGAGGAACACCAGUGGCGAAGGCGGCUCACUGGCUCGAUACUGACGCUGAGGUGCGAAAGCGUGGGGAGCAAACAGGAUUAGAAACCCCAGUAGUCC
This 444-nucleotide ribosomal RNA is filed under the name uncultured organism. Its description in RNAcentral is "partial 16S ribosomal RNA". It matches the Rfam family "Bacterial small subunit ribosomal RNA", at positions 335 to 796 of the family's 1533-position model. The record is from RNAcentral.